ACAGUGUUCCGGCUCUGCCGCUGGCAUGGCUAUACAUGCGAGAGGAAAGUCCGGGCAGCACAGGGCGCUCCACUUCUGAAACUGGAAGCUAUUGGUGACAAUAGGAUAAUGCAGAAGAAAACAACCGCCAGGCUUUAUGCCAGGUAAGGGUGAGAAGGUAGUGUAAGAGACUACCAGCCGACGGGUGAUCGUCGGGCUGUGCAUUCUGGGGGCUGCAAGUUCGCGUAAACCGUCGUCUGAGGAUAGCCCGUCCGACUAAUUCCGACGGAGGGUAGAAUGCUUAAGUUAUGGGGUGACUCAUAAAUUAGAUAAAUGGCAGGCACCGUCAUAUCGGCGAGAGUCUAUGGCGGAACAGAACCCGGCUUACAGGAACGCUGUUUUC
RNAcentral lists this RNase P RNA (382 nucleotides) under Prevotellaceae bacterium. Its description in RNAcentral is "RNase P RNA component class A". It matches the Rfam family "Bacterial RNase P class A". Rfam says of the family: Ribonuclease P (RNase P) is a ubiquitous endoribonuclease, found in archaea, bacteria and eukarya as well as chloroplasts and mitochondria. Lineage: Bacteria; Pseudomonadati; Bacteroidota; Bacteroidia; Bacteroidales; Prevotellaceae. The record is from RNAcentral.